GACGAACCUUGCUAACGUUAUUCGGAAUUACUGGGCUUAAAGGGUGCGUAGGCGGUGCAGAAAGUUGGGUGUGAAAGCCCUCGGCUCAACCGAGGAAUUGCGCCCAAAACUGCUGCACUAGGGGAAGACAGAGGUACGCGGAACUUAGGGUGGAGCGGUGAAAUGCGUUGAUAUCCUAAGGAACACCGGUGGCGAAGGCGGGUCUCUGGGCCGAUACUGACGCUGAGGAGCGAAAGCGUGGGGAGCGAACAGG
This 253-nucleotide ribosomal RNA is filed under the name uncultured bacterium. RNAcentral's name for it is "partial 16S ribosomal RNA". It matches the Rfam family "Bacterial small subunit ribosomal RNA", at positions 524 to 776 of the family's 1533-position model. The record is from RNAcentral.